This 72-nucleotide transfer RNA is filed under the name Camelus bactrianus (Bactrian camel). It matches the Rfam family "tRNA". From Rfam's summary of the family: Transfer RNA (tRNA) molecules are approximately 80 nucleotides in length. Their secondary structure includes four short double-helical elements and three loops (D, anti-codon, and T loops). RNAcentral also lists the same sequence under 2 other names. The record is from Rfam by way of RNAcentral. Lineage: Eukaryota; Metazoa; Chordata; Mammalia; Artiodactyla; Camelidae.
GAGGGUAUAGCUAAGUGGUAGAGUGUGUGCUUAGCAUGCACAAGGUCCUGGGAUCAAUCCCCAGUGUUUCCA